UGUUUUUAGGUCAUUAUCACACAUCACAGGGAGUGUGGGGAUUUCCUGGGUAGGGUGAUACCUAAAGAAACAAGUCUGACAGAGAAAAGAUCCAGAGACAGGGCUGGCCUGUCCUAUAUUAUGAAACCUGCAGCCACAGGGGACCCCACAGCUAAAGGGCCCCCUGCACAUAGGCAGUGGAAGUGGGAGGCUAACAGGGCUCAGCCCCCCCAGCCACAGCAACAGCAGACAUUGCCUUAGGGCAGCCCGGCCACAGGGUCCUACAGCAGGGGGUAAGGGAUGGACACGCUGAGCUAUCCUGCGUGCUCACAGCCGGCCCAGCCACAGGCAGAAGCUAUUUUUUGAACGAGGUAUGCAAAGAAAUAUGGUACCAGCCUUCCUUAAGGAAACAACAGAGAAGCUGCUAUUUCCUGCCAGGCUCCCAGACCUAAACCUCCAGUGGAAGGAGACAGUAAAACCCAAGAGUCUGAGCAAGCCGGAACAGGGAAGAAAGAGUUGUCAGCUGGUUGAAGCUGAUACACAGACACAUGGCAACAUUCAAGGCCUUAAGGAAUUCAGCCUGCAACGUGCUUCUUGUUGGGAAACAAAUAAUAUGUUUGUAAAAUUGUAUGUGCUGAUUCUAUGAAACAAAGGAGUCUCCCAACCAGUGAAAUCAUCUCACUUGGAGCAGAUGGUAUGAAGUACAGCACCAGAACCAAAUCCAGCUUAAGGAGACUUCAAACAAUCAAGAGACAAAUCAUAAUAGCUCAGUGCUUGGCAACACUUUCACCUUUCACAGAUGUUAGAGGAGAAGCUAUUUUUGGAAGAAGGGUCAGAUUUUUUCAUAUUCUUGGUUCAAGAUCAGUCCUCUCAAGUGGAAUUCCUGCCAGCUGCUAAAUAUACGUAGAUUUACUCUCUUCACUACCCACACUUAGCCAUUUAACAAGCUUUAAUUUCAGACUCUGGCACCAGGUGAGAUGAAAGUCCUACAAACUUGUUUUCUCCUCCUGGACACAGCAGGACAUGCAUUUUUUAAGCUAUCCUCCCAGCCCCAUGUGAACAAAUCCUCAUGACAAAGAGGAAUGCCAGACAUUUUCCAAAAAUACAAAAUCCCUCUCCCUGUCUUCCCUACUGUUGAAAGAAACUCGGCCAUCCCCAACUCCACAUUCUUUCUCUCCAUCUGACUUUCCCAUCCCCACUCUUUAGCCUGCAAUGGGCGUGUCUACAUAUUCAUUAAUGUGCCAUAAUCAGCACUACUGCACAGUAGCAUUGGCACAUGCUUUUUUGUGAUACUAAUGUGCAGUAGACUAAUUAGUCUACUAGAAUUAGCCUACUGUGCAUUUAGCAUCUUGUGUAGAAGCACCCAGACAGUAGCAAAAGUACUUUUGUAAGUGCAGCCUCAGGUGGCUGAUUCUCUUUCUCUACCAUCAUGGCCUGGACCUUGUGGAGCAGGCACGGUUAAAAGCUCAGCUCUCCCUGAGCAUCUGCUGAGUGUACGGAGUAUGUCAGUGCAGGAACAUGUUAGCUCCAUGUGGCAGGGAGCACUUGAUCCAUCGUAAUAUUGAGUUACAUCACGAGGACCUCAACUAUGUGACCCAGAAUAUUUGACCUAAUGUCAAGAGGGGCCUAGGCCUAUUGAGAUAUUUCACUGAGACACCCUGGCCUCCUUCCACUAGUGGAAUCUGAUCCAGCAACAGGAAAGUGUGAGAAUUUUCAGCUGUCCCCAUCCCAUGUGAAACAGUCAAGGUAAGGACUUACUCUGCACUGUGUAUGUAGUAAAGGGGGCAUCUUCAAAGCUUUCUCCCUUUUUUUUUUCUUCUGAAGAGUCAGCUCUCCCACAUUUCCAUUCACUGACUCAGGUAACCUGCAUUUUUGCAAACCGUGCCAACAUAUAUUGUGCUGGUCCCCCAGUAUCUUCCUUCUCAAAGAUCCCAAAGUAUUCUAUAAGGUGGGGCCCAAGGCUGUAAGGUGCCAAAUGGCAUGAGAAUGAUGCUGACUAACUUCAUCUUUGCUGAAGUCAAUAGGGCUAGGGACAGACAUUCAAAAAGCCUAAGCCUGAAUUUAUUCAAUCUUUGCAGGUUAGUCUAAACUGGCUAGGCUAAAUCAGUUUGUAACCAGACAGACAUCCCAGAAAUGUAAGCACAUGCCUGCAGUGGCACAGGCUAGAAGCCGGGGGAUGCUAAAGCAGCCCUCCCUUCCCUUCCACAGCGCUGAGCUGAGGUGGGGCAUGGCCAGGUCCUAGCAGGACACUCUGAUUAGGGAGGGAUUCCCCCUACCCCCCCCACCCCGAAGCCCAGCAGGGAAUGUUUAUCACCCCUAACUCAGUGUUUAUCAGCCCAUUAAGAAAACUACAGAGGGACAUUACCAACUACCUGUUGAUUCGGCCUUUGUCCAGUGUGCCACAGCUCAGAGGUAGCCAGCAUGUGGUCUGCUAGCUAAUGCUGAGAAGUGUCUGUGAGGGACAGGGGAAUGCCUGCUUAGCAGAGAGUGGAGGGAGGAGGGGAGCAGAAACCAUGGAGAUGCCUGCCAGUCUCUGCCAGAGCUGCAGCCAGGUAGCAGAGGGGAAGGGCCAGCCCUGCUGUGAAACAGAAAGCCCCGCCCAGCCCAGAGAGCAUGCUGGGAUGCUGGGGGAGUCUGAUUUAAUUUAAACUAGCAAGGAGUCUGGGACAGACAUGGCAUUAACUGGUUUGAGCCAAAUCAGUUAAGUCUGAUACUACAUUCAACAAGGUUUAUCUCAAACCGGUUUCAGCCAUUUUCAGACUGGUUUGUGUGCAUUGAACAUCUGUUCCGUUACAGGUUUAAACCAGUUUCUGAUUACUUAAACUGCUUUAUGUGUAAUGUCUGUCCCUAAUCUAGGAGGUGGUGGUCUUCAGAAUCUUGCAGAAUCAGACCCUAUAAAGGCAGCCAUCUAUGGAAUGGAUCAGGGCAGCUGCUUUAACAGCAACAAGAGAAAUCCUAGACAAUAACACUGGAAGGGACCUCAAGACAACCCUUGAGGUUGAGAAGUGUGAAUGAGAACUGCAGAAGGACUUCAGAGCAGCAGAAUGGACUGGCCCAAUUUGGAAUCUUGCCAGGGCCAAGGCCGGCAUAUACAUGUGAAGUAAGCUAUGGGAACUCUAGUUCAGUCAGUACUUUACUUUUACCUCUUAUGCCAAAGGCAGGACCUUCUGCCAUAUGCUGUCCUCAAGUACUGGACCUGAGGCGUGGGUUCAGAGCCAUCUCAGACCAAAAGCACUGACUAAUUUGAAGAAACUUGUUGGCUCCAGCAAACUGAAAACCUCUACACUUUGCCUAAGCCACCUAAAAGGUCACUUAUGCAAAUGGAAAGGCAUCACUGAAUGAAUUCCAUCACUUCCUGAAGCACCCUGUGAUCUCCUUAGCAGUCUCCUAUCAGAGUACUACAUGAGCCUGUCCCAGUUUAAUGAGCUUAGUGAUGCUAAGUGAUUCUAGCUCCAAAAAUAUUUUUGUAAGGUUUAAGAUGGCUAGAAAAUACCAGUGUUAUCAGUGUGAAACUACUCAAACUAUGUCUGUCUAUAAGUCAUUCAGUAAGUCUAGACAGUCCAUCAAGGCUACUUCCUAAUGGUGUUUUCAAAGUAAUACUAAUAACAAUGCAAUGAAUAAAACACUUCCAAUCCAGUGUAAUACCAACAAUUAAAACAGAAUGUCCAUGUAAAAACAAAAAGACAAUAGUUUAAAAGGGGGUGCGGUUGCACUGGGGGCCAUGGGUGAUUGAGAACCCAGUGCAAUUCCCAUUAAAGAUGGAAGAAAGAAUCCCAUAGACUUUAAAAGCUAGAUUGGCACCCCUUUUUACACAUCUCCAAUGAUGUGGAAGGAUGGACUCUGCUGAAAGGCUCACAAGCAGCAAUUUCUACAUCCACAAGGACUAUGGCCACAGUUGUUCAAACAAUCACCCAUACGUGUUUCAAGGCUCCAUGCCUGACUGACAGCUGCCAGGAGAAUAAUCAUGAAGCUUAAAGAUAAAAUUACUUGAGAAAAUAGAAGCUAAAGAACUAUUUCAUUUCCGGUCUUGCUUUAUUUAAAAGCCAAUGGUGAUGACUGUAGUACUCUGUGUGUGUGUCUACACAAGAUGCUUUACUGCACAUAGUUCAGCUUACUGGGCAGUAAGCAUACACAUCUACACAUGUACAUGCUUACUGUGCAGUAAAACAUGCUACUCGAGUAAAUUUGCUACCUGCAAAUGCAAGU
Molecule: long non-coding RNA, 4185 nt
Organism: Alligator mississippiensis (American alligator)
Lineage: Eukaryota; Metazoa; Chordata; Crocodylia; Alligatoridae
Exons: 3
Source: RefSeq, a predicted model, not a curated record